Molecule: ribosomal RNA, 293 nt
Filed under: uncultured prokaryote
Description: partial 16S ribosomal RNA
Rfam family: Archaeal small subunit ribosomal RNA
Source: RNAcentral
GUGUCAGCAGCCGCGGUAAUACCGGCAGCCCGCGUGGUGGCCGAUCUUAUUGCGCCUAAAGCGUCCGUAGCUGGCCGCACAAGUCCAUCGGAAAAUCCACCCGCUCAACGGGUGGGCGUCCGGUGGAAACUGUGUGGAUUGGGACCGGAAGGCGCGACGGGUACGUCCGGGGUAGGAGUGAAAUCCCGUAAUCCUGGACGGACCGCCGAUGGCGAAAGCACGUCGCGAGAACGGAUCCGACAGUGAGGGACGAAAGCCAGGGUCUCGAACCGGAUUAGAUACCCCAGUAGUCC